GAUGAACGCUGGCGGCGUGCCUAAUACAUGCAAGUCGAGCGAAUGGAUUAAGAGCUUGCUCUUAUGAAGUUAGCGGCGGACGGGUGAGUAACACGUGGGUAACCUGCCCAUAAGACUGGGAUAACUCCGGGAAACCGGGGCUAAUACCGGAUAACAUUUUGAACCGCAUGGUUCGAAAUUGAAAGGCGGCUUCGGCUGUCACUUAUGGAUGGACCCGCGUCGCAUUAGCUAGUUGGUGAGGUAACGGCUCACCAAGGCAACGAUGCGUAGCCGACCUGGGAGGGGAAUCGGCCACACUGGGACUGCGACACGGCCCAGACUCCUACGGGAGGCAGCAGUAGGGAAUCUUCCGCAAUGGACGAAAGUCUGACGGAGCAACGCCGCGUGAGUGAUGAAGGCUUUCGGGUCGUAAAACUCUGUUGUUAGGGAAGAACAAGUGCUAGUUGAAUAAGCUGACACCUUGACGGUACCUAACCAGAAAGCCACGGCUAACUACGUGCCAGCCGCCGCGGUAA
This 515-nucleotide ribosomal RNA is filed under the name uncultured bacterium. RNAcentral's name for it is "partial 16S ribosomal RNA". It matches the Rfam family "Bacterial small subunit ribosomal RNA", at positions 28 to 523 of the family's 1533-position model. The record is from RNAcentral.